RNAcentral lists this ribosomal RNA (29 nucleotides) under Cercospora nicotianae. Its description in RNAcentral is "partial 28S ribosomal RNA". The record is from RNAcentral. Lineage: Eukaryota; Fungi; Ascomycota; Dothideomycetes; Mycosphaerellales; Mycosphaerellaceae.
AUAUCAAUAAACGAAGGAGCAUAACAAUA